GAUGAACGCUGGCGGCGUGCCUAAUACAUGCAAGUCGAGCGAACAGAUGAGGAGCUUGCUCCUCUGACGUUAGCGACGGACGGGUGAGUAACACGUGGAUAACCUACCUAUAAGACUGGGAUAACUUCGGGAAACCGGAGCUAAUACCGGAUAAUAUAUUGAACCGCAUGGUUCAAUAGUGAAAGACGGUUUUGCUGUCACUUAUAGAUGGAUCCGCGCCGCAUUAGCUAGUUGGUAAGGUAACGGCUUACCAAGGCAACGAUGCGUAGCCGACCUGAGAGGGUGAUCGGCCACACUGGAACUGAGACACGGUCCAGACUCCUACGGGAGGCAGCAGUAGGGAAUCUUCCGCAAUGGGCGAAAGCCUGACGGAGCAACGCCGCGUGAGUGGUGAAGGUCUUCGGAUCGUAAAACUCUGUUAUUAGGGAAGAACAAAUGUGUAAGUAACUAUGCACGUCUUGACGGUACCUAAUCAGAAAGCCACGGCUAACUACGUG
RNAcentral lists this ribosomal RNA (497 nucleotides) under uncultured bacterium. RNAcentral describes it as "partial 16S ribosomal RNA". It matches the Rfam family "Bacterial small subunit ribosomal RNA", at positions 28 to 507 of the family's 1533-position model. The record is from RNAcentral.